This 1093-nucleotide ribosomal RNA is filed under the name uncultured bacterium. RNAcentral's name for it is "bacterial SSU rRNA". It matches the Rfam family "Bacterial small subunit ribosomal RNA", at positions 57 to 1202 of the family's 1533-position model. The record is from RNAcentral.
GCAGUCGAACGAAAGUUUUUAACUUUAGUGGCGAACGGGUGAGUAAUACGUGAGAAUCUGCCCUUUGGAGAAGAAUAACUGCUGGAAACGGCUGCUAAUACUUCAUAAACCGAGAGGUAAAAAAGUCUAGGCUGCCUAAGGAUGAGCUCGCGCCUGAUUAGCUUGUUGGUAAGGUAAAGGCUUACCAAGGCCACGAUCAGUAGCUGGUUUGAGAGAACGAUCAGCCACACUGGGACUGAGACACGGCCCAGACUCCUCCGGGAGGCAGCAGUGAGGAAUUUUCCGCAAUGGGCGAAAGCUUGACGGAGCAAUACCGCGUGAGGGAUGAAGGAUUUUGGUCUGUAAACCUCUUUUCUCAAGAAAGAAGUUCUGACGGUACUUGAGGAAUAAGCAUCGGCUAACUCCGUGCCAGCAGCCGCGGUAAUACGGGGGAUGCAAGCGUUAUCCGGAAUCAUUGGGCGUAAAGCGCCUGUAGGUUGUUUAAUAAGUCUGUUGUUAAAGACUAGGGCUCAACCCUAGAAAAGCAAUGGAAACUAAUAGACUAGAGUAUGGCAGGGGUAGAGGGAAUUUCUAGUGUAGCGGUGAAAUGCGUAGAUAUUAGAAAGAACACCAGUGGUGAAAGCGCUCUACUGGACCAUUACUGACACUCAGAGGCGAAAGCUAGGGUAGCAAAAGGGAUUAGAUACCCCUGUAGUCCUAGCCGUAAACGAUGGAUACUAGAUGUUGUGUUAUAUCACAGUAUCGCAGCUAACGCGUUAAGUAUCCCGCCUGGGGAGUACGCUCGCAAGGGUGAAACUCAAAGGAAUUGACGGGGGCCCGCACAAGCGGUGGAGCAUGUGGUUUAAUUCGAUGCAACGCGAAGAACCUUACCAGGGCUUGACAUACUACAGAUCUUUUUGAGAAAGAAGAGUGCCUUCGGGAAUGUAGAUACAGGUGGUGCAUGGCUGUCGUCAGCUCGUGUCGUGAGAUGUUGGGUUAAGUCCCGCAACGAGCGCAACCCUUAUUUUUAGUUACCAACUUGUUGGGUUCUCUAGAAAGACUGCCGGUGACAAACCGGAGGAAGGUGAGGAUGACGUCAAGUCAGCAUGCCCCU